This 253-nucleotide ribosomal RNA is filed under the name uncultured bacterium. RNAcentral describes it as "partial 16S ribosomal RNA". It matches the Rfam family "Bacterial small subunit ribosomal RNA", at positions 524 to 776 of the family's 1533-position model. The record is from RNAcentral.
UACGUAGGGUGCGAGCGUUGUCCGGAAUUAUUGGGCGUAAAGAGCUCGUAGGCGGUUUGUCGCGUCGACUGUGAAAACCCGAGGCUUAACCUCGGGCCUGCAGUCGAUACGGGCAGACUAGAGUUCGGUAGGGGAGACUGGAAUUCCUGGUGUAGCGGUGAAAUGCGCAGAUAUCAGGAGGAACACCGGUGGCGAAGGCGGGUCUCUGGGCCGAUACUGACGCUGAGGAGCGAAAGCAUGGGGAGCGAACAGG